This 832-nucleotide ribosomal RNA is filed under the name Bacillus zhangzhouensis. RNAcentral's name for it is "bacterial SSU rRNA". It matches the Rfam family "Bacterial small subunit ribosomal RNA", at positions 48 to 863 of the family's 1533-position model. The record is from RNAcentral. Lineage: Bacteria; Bacillati; Bacillota; Bacilli; Caryophanales; Bacillaceae.
CCUAUACAUGCAGUCGAGCGAACAGAAGGGAGCUUGCUCCCGGAUGUUAGCGGCGGACGGGUGAGUAACACGUGGGUAACCUGCCUGUAAGACUGGGAUAACUCCGGGAAACCGGAGCUAAUACCGGAUAGUUCCUUGAACCGCAUGGUUCAAGGAUGAAAGACGGUUUCGGCUGUCACUUACAGAUGGACCCGCGGCGCAUUAGCUAGUUGGUGGGGUAAUGGCUCACCAAGGCGACGAUGCGUAGCCGACCUGAGAGGGUGAUCGGCCACACUGGGACUGAGACACGGCCCAGACUCCUACGGGAGGCAGCAGUAGGGAAUCUUCCGCAAUGGACGAAAGUCUGACGGAGCAACGCCGCGUGAGUGAUGAAGGUUUUCGGAUCGUAAAGCUCUGUUGUUAGGGAAGAACAAGUGCGAGAGUAACUGCUCGCACCUUGACGGUACCUAACCAGAAAGCCACGGCUAACUACGUGCCAGCAGCCGCGGUAAUACGUAGGUGGCAAGCGUUGUCCGGAAUUAUUGGGCGUAAAGGGCUCGCAGGCGGUUUCUUAAGUCUGAUGUGAAAGCCCCCGGCUCAACCGGGGAGGGUCAUUGGAAACUGGGAAACUUGAGUGCAGAAGAGGAGAGUGGAAUUCCACGUGUAGCGGUGAAAUGCGUAGAGAUGUGGAGGAACACCAGUGGCGAAGGCGACUCUCUGGUCUGUAACUGACGCUGAGGAGCGAAAGCGUGGGGAGCGAACAGGAUUAGAUACCCUGGUAGUCCACGCCGUAUACGAUGAGUGCUAAGUGUUAGGGGGUUUCCGCCCCUUAUUGCUGCAGCUAACGCAUUUA